GAUGAAGAACGUAGCGAAAUGCGAUAAGUAGUGUGAAUUGCAGAAUUCAGUGAAUCAUCGAAUCUUUGAACGCACAUUGCGCCUUCUAGUAUUCUGGGAGGCAUGCCUGUUUGAGCGUCAUUAAACCUCUCUCAAGUAUGAUUACUUGGAUGUGAAGGAAGAGUACCUUAAACUUAAGGAGUGUUCUCCUUUGAAAUUGAUUAGCAGAUGGUAAUGUUAUUAAAUCCCUGAUGUUGUAAGAAAUAACAGUGGUUUUGUAGACUAUUAUCUAGCUGUAAAUUAUAAUUUUUAUUAUGGUUGACCUCAAAUCAGGUAAGGAUACCCGCUGAACUUAAGCAUAUCAAUAAGCGGAGGA
Molecule: unclassified non-coding RNA, 355 nt
Filed under: soil metagenome
Description: partial contains 5.8S ribosomal RNA, internal transcribed spacer 2, and large subunit ribosomal RNA
Rfam family: 5.8S ribosomal RNA (bases 1-120)
Source: RNAcentral